Scleropages formosus (Asian bonytongue) is the source of this 213-nucleotide small nucleolar RNA. It matches the Rfam family "Small nucleolar RNA U3". Rfam says of the family: Small nucleolar RNAs (snoRNAs) are involved in the processing and modification of rRNA in the nucleolus. There are two main classes of snoRNAs: the box C/D class, and the box H/ACA class. Lineage: Eukaryota; Metazoa; Chordata; Actinopteri; Osteoglossiformes; Osteoglossidae. The record is from Rfam.
AAGACUAUACUUUCAGGGAUCAUUUCUAUAGGUCUUGACUUGAGAAAUGAGCUUCUAAAGUGUUUGGUCGCGCCAACCACGAUGAGGAGGCGAGUCCUUUCUUCUGAGCGGGAAGCGGGUGUCUGACGCUGAGCUUUCAGCUGUUGUUCAUCUUUGAUGAUCGUUCUGCCUUCCCAUGGGUUGAGCAGAGGGAGAAAGGGCUGUCUGAGUGGU